AUCUUACGAUAUUAUUUAAAUACUAUUUUCCUUACUAAGCAUAUGGAACUCACUCUUUCCAUACCCUCCCUUCAGAUGAGGAAGAUAGUGAGGGACCGUCAACUGAUUUACCCAUUGAAGUCUAUGAAGAUCUCGUGGAUCUGCAAAACUUAAGUGCAUGAUUGUUUCUGCACUCUAAUGAGUCCAAUAACAUAAUGAUUGAAAUGAUCCUUUUUGUAUCUUGACAUUUGUAUUUUGUAGUCAUUUCUGAUCUCAGUUAUAUGUGUAUUUGAAACUCAUAUAUUGUAAGGGAUUUGUAUUAAUUUACUCCACUGUAUAUAAAUUUUUAUCAUGUACUAGUAAUUUAUUUUUGUAUCUGACACCCACAUGUCUUAAUUAGCAUUUGAGAUGUCACAGAUGAUAUCAGAGCAGUUACGCGG
Molecule: long non-coding RNA, 419 nt
Filed under: Carica papaya (papaya)
Lineage: Eukaryota; Viridiplantae; Streptophyta; Magnoliopsida; Brassicales; Caricaceae
Description: long non-coding RNA (CPAP_LNC014289)
Source: RNAcentral